AAACAACACAGCAGAAAGGCGUCUGGGAAGGAAUAGCUUUCGCUUCUUUCCUUCUGAGGAGGAAAUGACUAGCUGACCAGGAGUUGGUGCUCACCCUGCCUGGAGCCAGGACCUGGAACAAGGACCUGGAGCAUACCCAGAUGAGGAUGAAAAUGCAGCUUCAGCUCAGAAAAACAAUUUCGUGACAAAGAGACUUGUUCUUUUCAAACCUCACCCAACAAAUGAAACUGACAGAAUGAAACCUGAGAAACUUUAGCGACCAAAGAAAGCAGCCUUCCAAGGAUCAAGUGGAAAUUUGCCAAGGAGUCUUCUAAUCUGCCAGCCUGUGAAGAAGGUGAACUACCCCAGAGAAGUCUACCAUCCAGACUGCACAAGGACAACAGGAUCACGUGGCCUUUCUGCCAGAGGAUGGCCAGGCCAGGGGGGCCACCUGUUCCAGUUCCUAGCUACUUCCCUCCCACCAUUAGUCAAUGGACUCACCAGCCCAGGAAAGCAUAUUUACAAGCUUGAUGCAAAUGAAUCCUUUGGCCUUGGAAGUCACCUGCUGAAGAUGGAGGAGUCACAGCGGGGAAACGUCCCAGAAUCAUGGCCCAGAGAGGAAAGUUAAAACAAGUUUUGGAUUUCAUGAGAAAGAAGAUACACUUGGAUUGUGUUUAAACCAUUAUUCAUUUUGAGAUCUGACAGUAACAAGAGGUAGUAUUAGUAUAACUGAUACAUUAUUGUUACAGUUUUAACUCUCCCAGCUUGUCUGAAAUGACUGACUAUGGAGUGGCUGAGGGAACAGGAAAGGCUGUCUGGAAAAUACAACCGUCCCUUUAAUGCUGCCAAAUAGUCACUGGACAAUGUGAGGAGGGUCCACAACUUUCCCAUCUUGGGGAAGCUGGUCCUUGUUCUGCCCUCGUCCUCUGGGGAAGGGCCCAACGAGCAGCAGACAAUGCGCAGUCAGACCACCAGCAGCAGCAGAGGAUGUGGAGCAACCCCAGUCAGCUCUGUGCCUGCCACUCUGUGUUUCUUUGCUGCCCUGCUUCAUGGAGGCCAUGUACCCCUACCCACUUUGCCUCUGAUAAAAGGGAGAAGUACUAAUCAGAGAUGUUACCCAACCCCAUUACGUACCAUCCCUGCUCAGUGCUUCCUAAAGCAGCAUCCUUCAUUCUCUCCCUGUGGAAAGCAAAGAGCUAUUUAGCUCUCCUGGUGAGUAAUGCCAAAAUAUUUGAUUAUUAUUGUCUCUCAUUCAGAAGAUUAUCUGUCAAAAGCAAAUGCUGUGAGUCAUGCUUUAGAAAAAGGUGAACAGAGGAUAUGCAACCAAACCCAAAAGGUGGCAGACUGGAGUGGGAACAAUCACUGGGGAGGCGUUUUGUGGCCCCCGCCUGUGGUCAAGUGGGACCAACAAGGCUUCCCCUUGUGUUUCUCACAGGGGGACACUGUGGGGACCAGCAAUCGUGUAAAAUGAAAGUGCAUUCUGAUCUUAUAAAAACAGCUGAUGAUCCUCAACUAUUUACUGUGAAGUCUUUCUACAUAGGUUGCUUAAUUUCUCAACAAGCUUAUUACAUAAGUAUUAUAAUGAGCCUCACUUAUGAGGUAAGAAAACUGAGGCUCAGAGAGGAGAAACUAAUCAACAUCCCCAUGAUCCCCGGGGU
This is a non-coding RNA of Manis javanica (Malayan pangolin), 1637 nucleotides long. The record is from RefSeq and is a predicted model, not a curated record. NCBI's taxonomy places the organism in Eukaryota, Metazoa, Chordata, Mammalia, Pholidota, Manidae.